This 511-nucleotide unclassified non-coding RNA is filed under the name Hevea brasiliensis (rubber tree). The record is from RNAcentral. Lineage: Eukaryota; Viridiplantae; Streptophyta; Magnoliopsida; Malpighiales; Euphorbiaceae.
GGCAAAUCAGCGGAACCGCGUCAAGUGGAAAUCAGUGCUUUUGAGGAACAUGAAAUCCAUUUUGUGGGAAGGCCUAAUUUCCACGAUAUGUUCUCCAAGUUUCCAAAUGAAACUGAAGGAUCUGAUGUUGGAGUCUUGGUUUGUGGACCUGAAACUAUGAAGGAGUCGGUAGCAUCAUUAUGCCAGCUCAAGUCACAAGGCUUCAAUGUAGGUGCCGAGGGAAAGAAACCAUACUACAGUUUCCACUCCCUCAACUUCACUCUCUAGUCUACACACUAAUAUCAACUACUUGGACACAAGAAAUUCUAGCCCAAAAGUAUAGGUAGCCCUACUCUUUUGUCUGUAUCAGUAUUAAUGCCUGUGCAAGUAGUGUAAAUUGGCUCUAGCCUUCUCCUUCCAAAAUGUGAUCAUAUGUGCAGUAAAUUUCCGCUUCAAGCUUGUGCAAUUUGCCUUAAUUUGCAGCAGAUUGAUUUCUAUCUUCAAGACGAAAUAGCAAUUCAGUUUUUUCCCC